GACGAACCGUCCGAACGUUAUUCGGAAUCACUGGGCUUAAAGGGUGCGUAGGCGGCGCGGAAAGUUGGGUGUGAAAUCCCUCGGCUCAACCGAGGAACUGCGCCCAAAACUACCGUGCUCGAGGGAGAUAGAGGUGAGCGGAACUUAGGAUGGAGCGGUGAAAUGCGUUGAUAUCCUAAGGAACACCGGUGGCGAAAGCGGCUCACUGGAUCUCUUCUGACGCUGAGGCACGAAAGCUAGGGUAGCGAACGGG
Molecule: ribosomal RNA, 253 nt
Filed under: uncultured bacterium
Lineage: Bacteria
Description: partial 16S ribosomal RNA
Rfam family: Bacterial small subunit ribosomal RNA
Source: RNAcentral